Molecule: small nuclear RNA, 19 nt
Filed under: Arabidopsis thaliana (thale cress)
Lineage: Eukaryota; Viridiplantae; Streptophyta; Magnoliopsida; Brassicales; Brassicaceae
Description: snRNA_00421
Source: RNAcentral
UCGAUAUGUUGAACUUAGA